This is a long non-coding RNA of Stegodyphus dumicola, 2830 nucleotides long. The record is from RefSeq and is a predicted model, not a curated record. Lineage: Eukaryota; Metazoa; Arthropoda; Arachnida; Araneae; Eresidae.
GAUGCAUCACCAAUACCAGUGUUACUUCCCUUACAACUGGAGCAUCCGCAACGUCACAGUAUUUUAUCUAUUUUAAAAUUAACUUUAUAAGCUUUGCAAAUGUUUACAAUAAUAACAUCUUCUCUUCUAAAUUAAAGCUAUUUUUUAUGCACAGUUUUUUCAAAUUAAAAAUGUUUUUUUUCCUUGCUGCGAAUUGUGCCUUUGCAGUCAGUGUCAACAUCACUAUGUCAUUACUCCGCAUUUCCUGUUUCAAGGAGAAAAGUUCUAUAAUCCAGCCCUUCUCUUUGAAGUCCUGAUAUUUAAGGAUGAUGCUCUAGUUUAUUUUACACAAUCUGCAGUUGCAUUGUUCUCUCCGCUGGGCUCAGAAAUCCUGUCUUCUCCUUUACAUCGCACGGUUUUAAGCUGUUCAAGCCUACGAAUUUCCAACAAAUCGAAUGUGUGAAUGCCUGAAACUCGCUAAGGUACGAACUGCACAGGAAUGAUAACGGAAGAAUUACAAAGUAGAGGAGAAAUUCAACUCAAAGUUGGAUACAAUUUUUGAGGCUUGGCGAUAAGAUUUAAUGAACAUUAAAAAAUAUUAAAUGAAGAUAGAUCCAUUAUUUGAUUGUUUCAUUUUACAAUACAGCUCAAACUUCGUGCAAAAAUGAGCAGUAAAUUUAACUCUUUCGCAUCGAGAGAGGACCACAUCUCUUUUAUUCAAACAUCGAAAACGCCCGUGUAUACGAAUUUCUGUUGGAAUGCUUUUUCUUCCCCCAACACAAAUUGAACACUACAGCACUAACAAUAACCUACUUAAGUAAAGCGACAACUUCUUUCUUGGACGCUUUCACCCUAUGUGAAAUUCCCCCUUGGGAUGGGAUUGCAACUUCGGUCAUAAAUAGCUAAACAUUGACAGUAAACAAAGGGAAAAGAAGAUGUGUUAAAAUAACAGAACUAUUUUUAAUCGCUUGAAAAGAAUGAUUGACACGUCAUUUAAGAACUCUUGAAAGCAAUGAGCAAUGCAGUAACGUGGUGGGGAAGAGCACUAGGUAGGAAAUUAUUGAGGCGGUCGGGGCGACUUUGAUGUGAAAGAGUUUAAUGAAUCAAUUCGUAAAAUCAACCAACAACCAAACGUGCACACUAGGGUUUCGGGUAAAAAUGUCAAUCAGUUGAGUUUUGGUGCCACACACACUUUUUUUUUUUUCUCUUUGCCUUUACUAAUAUAAUUGCUGCAAUACAAACUGUAAUGCAAAUUGAAAUAUUGUUCCUUAUUUUGCACAUCAUUUUUAUAAUUAAUUGCAGUAUUCUUAGUUUAAAUGCAAAUCAUAAUUGUUGUUUCUUAAUUCCUACUUAAUAAAUUAAUAUUAUAACACAUAUUCUUAAAGAUAUAUAUAAAAGCUUGUUUAUUUGGAAUCCUAGAAAAAAUUACAAGCAGAAAAUUUUCACUUUUAAAUAAUGUCUAGUGCCAUGAACAUAUGAAACUAAAUCAGUGAACCAAAUUGAAAACUAGAUUCAAAACCAAUUUCAACAUCUCUGUUCAUUUUUGCAAUUUUUAAACAUAAAAAUGUUGCAAAACAAAAAACCUUAAAAAUAUUUAAAAAUAUACAGUAGAACAGUGGCGUGGCUGGAGGCGUUGUUGCCCUUGCCCAGUAGCACAUUUUUCGGGAAGGCAUCUUUCGCACUUCCAAUAUCUUUAUUUUAUUGAAACUAUUAAAUGAAAAUUAAUUAAUAUUGACUAAAUUGCAAUUAAGGUGACAUUCGCUACGACAUAAUUUAAGUAUUGCAGAGUUUUAUUUCCAAUGUUGUUGGGAAAAUCUAAACAAGAAAGUGCAGCAACCUUUUCAAAUUAUUUGCAGCUUAUUCUAAAAUACAAUCUCUGGAACAAAGUUCCAAAUAUUGUUAUACUGUUGUGAAUUUUUCUUGCCAUCACCAUAAGCACUGCUGGUUGACAGAAGAGUUUUCUAAAUAAAAAUAAUUUAAGGAGUAUUUAUGAGAAAGCUUUCUAUACUGUCUACAUUAUGGCAAUUGAGCAAUCCAGCAGUUCAAUGGUUUUAAGAACACCCCCCCAAAAAAAAUUAAUGUUAGAACUAAGAUUUUUCUUAAAAACAUCCUUUUUGAAAACUACUCCAAUAAACCUGUUCUGUGUUAGAUAUGCUAACAAUGUCUUGCAGUUUAUUGUCAAUGAAGAAAGAAAAAGUUGCAUCCAGUUUUAACAACAGCCUAUUCUAAGAAAAAAAGAAAAAAAUUUCACACCACAAUUCAUCAUAAACUGCAGCUGCCAACCUUGAAAUAUUAAAAAGUGGAUAAAAAAUCUGAAUGUUUUUCACACUGCAUGGUGACACCAUUUCAAAGGAACUUCAAACUGAUUUUAAUUCACCUUAUAAUGUAUGGUUCUGUUAUUGAACUAUUUGUAAUUCAAUUUUGAUAUAAAAUAUAUUAGCAUUUAAUUGGAUGUCAAGAAAACCUUGAGGAGCGAAGGAAAGCUUCUCAUUCUCAAAGUACUUUUAAAUAUGAUGAAAAUAAAACUAACAAUUAAUGUAGAUAGUAAUUAUGUGGAUAAACUUUGUCAUGUAUUACAUAUUAAAGUAACCAAAAUUAAAUGCAACUAUUAACUGAUUAAACAUUGCUCGAAUCUUCACAUAAAAAUUUACAAAUGUUUACAGUAGAUUAAGAUAAUUCAGAUGAAAGAAAAUGUAAUAAAUUGCUGGGAAUUUACUAAAUUACUGUUGUUAUUUAACUAUUAUGCUAUUAAACUGCGCAAACUACAAUUUGUCCCAAAUGAUGAAAUGUAAUUUUUUAAAGAAAAUUUACAAUCACAGCAUUAGUUAUUAAUAAUUAAAAUGGUUUAAAU